UUUCGCAAUGCCCGAAAGGGUGACGAAGCGACGCCGCGUGCGGGAAGAAGGCCUUCGGGUUGUAAACCGCUGUCGGGAGCUAAGAAAUGUAAGGAUGUUAAUAGCAUCUUUGCUUGACUAAGGCUCCGGAGGAAGCCACGGCUAACUCUGUGCCAGCAGCCGCGGUAAUACAGAGGCGGCAAGCGUUGUUCGGAAUUAUUGGGCGUAAAGAGCACGUAGGCGGCUACGUAAGUCGGUUGUGAAAGCCUUCCGCUCAACGGGAGAACAGCAUCCGAUACUGCAUGGCUUGAGUGUAGGAGGGGAGAGUGGAACUUCUGGUGGAGCGGUGAAAUGCGUAGAUAUCAGAAGGAACGUCGGCGGCGAAAGCGACUCACUGGCCUAUUACUGACACUGAGUGUGCGAAAGUUAGGGGAGCAAACGGGAUUAGAUACCCCGGUAGCCCUAACUGUAAACGAUGGGCACUAAGUAGAGGGGUUUUA
RNAcentral lists this ribosomal RNA (479 nucleotides) under uncultured anaerobic ammonium-oxidizing bacterium. Its description in RNAcentral is "bacterial SSU rRNA". It matches the Rfam family "Bacterial small subunit ribosomal RNA", at positions 364 to 833 of the family's 1533-position model. The record is from RNAcentral.